CCUACGGGAGGCAGCAGUGGGGAAUCUUGCGCAAUGGGCGAAAGCCUGACGCAGCAACGCCGCGUGCGGGAAGAAGGCCUUCGGGUUGUAAACCGCUUUCAGCAGGAACGAAAAUGACGGUACCUGCAGAAGAAGGAGCGGCCAACUACGUGCCAGCAGCCGCGGUGACACGUAGGCUCCAAGCGUUGUCCGGAUUUAUUGGGCGUAAAGAGCUCGUAGGCGGCUCAGUAAGUCGGGUGUGAAAACUCUGGGCUCAACCCAGAGCCUGCAUUCAAAACUGCUGUGACUAGAGUUUGGUAGGGGAGCGGGGAAUUCCUAGUGUAGCGGUGAAAUGCGCAGAUAUUAGGAGGAACACCGGUGGCGAAAGCGCCGCUCUGGGCCAAUACUGACGCUGAGGAGCGAAAGCGUGGGUAGCAAACAGGAUUAGAUACCCUGGUAGUCCACGCCGUAAACGAUGGGCACUAGGUGUGGGUUUCAACUAACGAAAUCCGUGCCGUCGCUAACGCAUUAAGUGCCCCGCCUGGGGAGUACGGUCGCAAGACUAAAACUCAAAGGAAUUGAACGG
Molecule: ribosomal RNA, 565 nt
Filed under: uncultured bacterium
Lineage: Bacteria
Description: bacterial SSU rRNA
Rfam family: Bacterial small subunit ribosomal RNA
Source: RNAcentral